RNAcentral lists this ribosomal RNA (1522 nucleotides) under metagenome. RNAcentral's name for it is "bacterial SSU rRNA". It matches the Rfam family "Bacterial small subunit ribosomal RNA". The record is from RNAcentral.
AGAGUUUGAUCAUGGCUCAGAUUGAACGCUGGCGGCAGGCCUAACACAUGCAAGUCGAACGGUAACAGGAAACAGCUUGCUGUUUCGCUGACGAGUGGCGGACGGGUGAGUAAUGUCUGGGAAACUGCCUGAUGGAGGGGGAUAACUACUGGAAACGGUAGCUAAUACCGCAUAACGUCGCAAGACCAAAGAGGGGGACCUUCGGGCCUCUUGCCAUCAGAUGUGCCCAGAUGGGAUUAGCUAGUAGGUGGGGUAACGGCUCACCUAGGCGACGAUCCCUAGCUGGUCUGAGAGGAUGACCAGCCACACUGGAACUGAGACACGGUCCAGACUCCUACGGGAGGCAGCAGUGGGGAAUAUUGCACAAUGGGCGCAAGCCUGAUGCAGCCAUGCCGCGUGUAUGAAGAAGGCCUUCGGGUUGUAAAGUACUUUCAGCGGGGAGGAAGGGAGUAAAGUUAAUACCUUUGCUCAUUGACGUUACCCGCAGAAGAAGCACCGGCUAACUCCGUGCCAGCAGCCGCGGUAAUACGGAGGGUGCAAGCGUUAAUCGGAAUUACUGGGCGUAAAGCGCACGCAGGCGGUUUGUUAAGUCAGAUGUGAAAUCCCCGGGCUCAACCUGGGAACUGCAUCUGAUACUGGCAAGCUUGAGUCUCGUAGAGGGGGGUAGAAUUCCAGGUGUAGCGGUGAAAUGCGUAGAGAUCUGGAGGAAUACCGGUGGCGAAGGCGGCCCCCUGGACGAAGACUGACGCUCAGGUGCGAAAGCGUGGGGAGCAGACAGGAUUAGAUACCCUGGUAGUCCACGCCGUAAACGAUGUCGACUUGGAGGUUGUGCCCUUGAGGCGUGGCUUCCGGAGCUAACGCGUUAAGUCGACCGCCUGGGGAGUACGGCCGCAAGGUUAAAACUCAAAUGAAUUGACGGGGGCCCGCACAAGCGGUGGAGCAUGUGGUUUAAUUCGAUACAACGCGAAGAACCUUACCUGGUCUUGACAUCCACGGAAGUUUUCAGAGAUGAGAAUGUGCCUUCGGGAACCGUGAGACAGGUGCUGCAUGGCUGUCGUCAGCUCGUGUUGUGAAAUGUUGGGUUAAGUCCCGCAACGAGCGCAACCCUUAUCCUUUGUUGCCAGCGGUCCGGCCGGGAACUCAAAGGAGACUGCCAGUGAUAAACUGGAGGAAGGUGGGGAUGACGUCAAGUCAUCAUGGCCCUUACGACCAGGGCUACACACGUGCUACAAUGGCGCAUACAAAGAGAAGCGAUCUCGCGAGAGCAAGCGGACCUCAUAAAGUGCGUCGUAGUCCGGAUUGGAGUCUGCAACUCGACUCCAUGAAGUCGGAAUCGCUAGUAAUCGUGGAUCAGAAUGCCACGGUGAAUACGUUCCCGGGCCUUGUACACACCGCCCGUCACACCAUGGGAGUGGGUUGCAAAAGAAGUAGGUAGCUUAACCUUCGGGAGGGCGCUUACCACUUUGUGAUUCAUGACUGGGGUGAAGUCGUAACAAGGUAACCGUAGGGGAACCUGCGGUUG